This 237-nucleotide ribosomal RNA is filed under the name uncultured bacterium. RNAcentral describes it as "partial 16S ribosomal RNA". It matches the Rfam family "Bacterial small subunit ribosomal RNA", at positions 1255 to 1500 of the family's 1533-position model. The record is from RNAcentral.
CAGCGAUGUGAUGCUAAUCUCCAAACCAUGUCUCAGUUCGGAUCGGAGUCUGCAACUCGACUCCGUGAAGCUGGAUUCGCUAGUAAUCGCGCAUCAGCCAUGGCGCGGUGAAUACGUUCCCGGGCCUUGUACACACCGCCCGUCAAGCCAUGGGAGCCGGGGGUACCUGAAGUCCGUAACCGCGAGGAUCGGCCUAGGGUAAAACUGGUGACUGGGGCUAAGUCGUAACAAGGUAUC